Molecule: ribosomal RNA, 417 nt
Filed under: uncultured bacterium
Lineage: Bacteria
Description: bacterial SSU rRNA
Rfam family: Bacterial small subunit ribosomal RNA
Source: RNAcentral
UGGGGAAUAUUGGGCAAUGGGCGAAAGCCUUACCCAGCAACGCCGCGUGAGGGAAGAAGGUUUUCGGAUUGUAAACCUCUGUCCUGGGGGACGAAGGAAGUGACGGUACCCCGGGAGGAAGCCCCGGCUAGCUACGUGCCAGCAGCCGCGGUAAUACGUAGGGGGCGAGCGUUGUCCGGAAUUAUUGGGCGUAAAGGGCGCGUAGACGGCCGAGUAAGUUAUAGGUGAAAGCCCAUCUUUCAAGGAUGGAAUUGCCUGUAAUACUGCCUGGCUUGAGUGCAGGAGAGGGAAGCGGAAUUCCUAGUGUAGCGGUGAAAUGCGUAGAUAUUAGGAGGAACACCAGUGGCGAAGGCGGCUUUCUGGACUGCAACUGACGUUGAGGCGCGAAAGCGUGGGGAGCAAACAGGAUUAGAUACC